Molecule: small nucleolar RNA, 82 nt
Organism: Cryptomeria japonica (Japanese cedar)
Lineage: Eukaryota; Viridiplantae; Streptophyta; Pinopsida; Cupressales; Cupressaceae
Product: small nucleolar RNA U31b
Exons: 1
Source: RefSeq, a predicted model, not a curated record
GAAUGUGAUGAUUAUGAUUGUCGCCCCAGUCUUAUUAGCACUCAUUUGUGCUAUAUGGUGAUUGACAAUUACAUUCUGAUUU